UCCAGUCCACACUCCCCUCCUUGCCGAGGAAGGGCGACCACUACUUCGCUCUGCCUCAGGGGCUCUCUCCGCCCUUACCCGCCUCCCUCACCUGCUCAGAACAACGACUCCUGCUUAGAGACCUAAAUCCUUCUUAGUGCCCCUCACGUCUCAGAAGCCCCGCACUUCCCUCCAGCAUUUCCUCAAGAGACGCUCAAGUCUCCUUAGAGACCCCCCCAUCAUCUCCUCACGCUCUCUACUCCCCCACCAGAGCCCCCACUACUCAGAGCCUCCAUUCCUCUAAGGUCCGCACUCUUCCUCAGUGACCCCAUAUCCCAGAGUCCCCUCUCUUCUCCCCCCACUCUUCCUUCAAGCCACCCCUUCCUUCUCAGAAAUCCCUAUGAUUCUCAGAUCCUCACCAACACUCACCAUCCAUCUCCAGAAGCCCUAACACCCAGACCCCUCCUCAGUCCGAAAUCAAUUUUCCCUUCAAGGUCUGGCUGACCAGUGAUCUCACGUUUAUUCAUUCCAUCUACUGCAGUCUGGGCCUAGAAAACCCUAGCACACGGGCACUGAGCUACUGAAGGAUGCUUCCUGAAGGUCUGCUCUGAGGUGUACUGCAGGCCUGGAGUCCCACAGAAGCAAGGGCUGCAUCUUUCAAGGGCCUGUGCCCAGGCAUAUGGCAGAAGGGUCAUCAUCUCUGAAGAUUUCAGGCCUCAGGCCCUAGAAGACAUGUUGCCCACCUUGGAUCCUCAAGUAUCCAGCAUCCCAGUUCAUUCCUGCCUCCUCACAGAGCUGUCUUAGGGCAGGAGGAGUUUUCCCAAAGGGAGAGACAGUCCCAUGUAGUGAAGAAGGGACCUAGAUAUUUUUGGUUCUUCAGCAAUGUGUGCUUUAGUGAUUUAAGACUUUGGCCUCCAAUGGAAGGCUGUUAUUUAGCGUGUGAACCUUAAGAGGCUAUAACCUUGUCUCCUCCUCUCCCGGUGAAGAGGAAGCAGAGAAUCCAGAUUCUGGUCUACACUGUAUCUAGCAGGGUGCCUUUAUGAGCAUCUGAGAGGGAGCUCAUCAUGGCCUGUCUGAGCCUUGAGGGGCCGUAGGGUGAGAUGAUGAGGAAUACCAAGCUGAGGUUGUGACCAACUCUUGACUUUGUGGGGAAUCCAAAGCCCUUUCCCCAGGUGCCUCUCUUGUCCCUUGAUUCAUCUCUGUGCCUUUUGAAGCUAUGCAACCACAGGCCAGAUGGCAACCCCUCUGAGCUACUGUCCUGUGAAAACAAGUGUAAUACUUGCACCACAAGAUGUAAGUGAUGAUUAAAUAAUGCAACUCCAGUGCUA
Molecule: long non-coding RNA, 1307 nt
Organism: Hyaena hyaena (striped hyena)
Lineage: Eukaryota; Metazoa; Chordata; Mammalia; Carnivora; Hyaenidae
Exons: 3
Source: RefSeq, a predicted model, not a curated record